UACAGAGGGGGCAAGCGUUGUUCGGAAUUACUGGGCGUAAAGGGCUCGUAGGCGGCCAACUAAGUCAGACGUGAAAUCCCUCGGCUUAACCGGGGAACUGCGUCUGAUACUGGAUGGCUUGAGUUUGGGAGAGGGAUGCGGAAUUCAUGGUGUAGCAGUGAAAUGCGUAGAGAUCAUGAGGAAGACCAGUGGCGAAGGCGGGUCUCUGGACAGUUCCUGACACUGAGACACGAAGGCCAGGGGAGCAAACGGG
RNAcentral lists this ribosomal RNA (253 nucleotides) under uncultured bacterium. RNAcentral describes it as "partial 16S ribosomal RNA". It matches the Rfam family "Bacterial small subunit ribosomal RNA", at positions 524 to 776 of the family's 1533-position model. The record is from RNAcentral.